CGGACGGGUGAGUAAUGUCUGGGAAACUGCCCGAUGGAGGGGGAUAACUACUGGAAACGGUAGCUAAUACCGCAUAACGUCGCAAGACCAAAGAGGGGGACCUUCGGGCCUCUUGCCAUCGGAUGUGCCCAGAUGGGAUUAGCUAGUAGGUGGGGUAACGGCUCACCUAGACGACGAUCCCUAGCUGGUCUGAGAGGAUGACCAGCCACACUGGAACUGAGACACGGUCCAG
RNAcentral lists this ribosomal RNA (232 nucleotides) under uncultured bacterium. RNAcentral describes it as "partial 16S ribosomal RNA". It matches the Rfam family "Bacterial small subunit ribosomal RNA", at positions 99 to 334 of the family's 1533-position model. The record is from RNAcentral.